This 1488-nucleotide ribosomal RNA is filed under the name Lepanus monteithi. RNAcentral describes it as "partial large subunit ribosomal RNA". The record is from RNAcentral. Lineage: Eukaryota; Metazoa; Arthropoda; Insecta; Coleoptera; Scarabaeidae.
CGUUCUUGAAAUUUAAAAAAUUUGGCGGUAUUUUAGUCUUUUUAGAGGAACAUGCCCUGUAAUUGAUAAUCCACGAUUAAUUGUACUUAAAUUAAUAGUUUAUAUAUCGUCGUAGUUGAACACCUUAUGAGAGAGAAGUGUUCAAUAUUUAUAAUAUAAUAAAUAAAAUCAGAUCAAGAUAUAGCUUAUAUUUAAGAAGAGGUGUGUUACAUUAAAAAUAUUUAUGGUUAUAUUAAUUAAAAUUAUUAUAUAAAUUGGAUUUAAAAGUAAUAUAUUUAAGUUAAAAUAUAUGAUUUAAGCUCUGAAAUAUGCACAUAUCGCCCGUCGCUUCCAAUGAAUUUUAAAUUGGAAUAAGUCGUAACAUAGUAGGUGUACCGGAAGGUGUACCUAGUUUGACGAAUUAAAGCUUUAUAAAAGUAUUUUAUUUACAUUAAAAAGAUAUUUGUGAAAUUCAAAUUAAUUUGAAUUUAUAAAUUUAUUAUUUGAAAAUUGAUUAUCUAAAAUUUUAAAAAAAAUAUUUUUUAGUUUAUUUAUUAAUUAAGAUAAAAUUAUUAUUAUUAUAGUUUAUUAGUAUAGUGAUAGAAUAUUGAAAAAGAGUGAAAAAUAAAAUUUUGAAAAGAAAAAUUUAAUUUUUGUACCUUGUGUAUCAGGGUUUAUUAAAUAUUGAUUAUUAAAUAUUAAUUUUCUCGAAUUUAAAAGAGUUAAGAAAUUAUAAAUUUUAUUGUGAAAUAACUAUUUAAAAUAAUUUUUUAGUAAUGAAACGUUAUUCGUUUUUAAAUUUAUCUAGUUUUUUAAGAAAUAAAUUUAAUUUAGUUAUUUAUUUUAAUAUAAAUAAUUUUAUUAUUUAAUAUUAAUAUAAUUAAUUAAUAUUUUAAGGGAUAAGCUUUAAAGUAAAAUUUUAAAAAUAAAUAUAAUAAAAUAAUAUAAAUUAAUAGGAUUAGAAUUUUUUAUUUUUAAUAAUAUGUUAUAAUAAAUUUAUAUUAAAAUUUAAUUUUUAUAUAAUUUUAAAUUAUUUAUUAAAAUUAUUUAUUUAAUUUAAUAUUAGAUGAAAUAAUGAUAAAAUUAGUAUAAAUUUAAUGUAUAUUUAAUUUAAUUUAGUUAAGGUUAAAUUAAGGAAUUCGGCAAAAAAUUUUUUCUGCCUGUUUAUUAAAAACAUGUCUUUUUGAUUAUAAUUUAAAGUCUAACCUGCCCUAUGAAUAAUUUAAAUGGCCGCGGUAUUUUGACCGUGCAAAGGUAGCAUAAUCAUUAGUUUUUUAAUUAAGAACUGGAAUGAAUGGUUGGACAAGAAAAAUACUGUCUCAAUUUAAUUUAAAUUAGAAUUUUAUUUUUAAGUUAAAAAGCUUAAAUGAUAUUAAAAGACGAGAAGACCCUAUAGAGUUUUAUAUUAUUAAUAUUAUUUAAAUUUUAAGAAUUUAAAUAUUUAUAUUAUUAUUAUUAUUUAAUUGGGGUGAUUAAAAAAUUAAAUAAACUUUUUUUAUAUAAUAACAU